This 847-nucleotide ribosomal RNA is filed under the name Curvularia verruculosa. RNAcentral's name for it is "eukaryotic LSU rRNA". It matches the Rfam family "Eukaryotic large subunit ribosomal RNA", at positions 71 to 936 of the family's 3401-position model. Lineage: Eukaryota; Fungi; Ascomycota; Dothideomycetes; Pleosporales; Pleosporaceae. The record is from RNAcentral.
GGGAUUGCCCUAGUAACGGCGAGUGAAGCGGCAACAGCUCAAAUUUGAAAUCUGGCUCUUUUAGAGUCCGAGUUGUAAUUUGCAGAGGGCGCUUUGGCUUUGGCAGCGGUCCAAGUUCCUUGGAACAGGACGUCACAGAGGGUGAGAAUCCCGUACGUGGUCGCUAGCUAUUGCCGUGUAAAGCCCCUUCGACGAGUCGAGUUGUUUGGGAAUGCAGCUCUAAAUGGGAGGUAAAUUUCUUCUAAAGCUAAAUAUUGGCCAGAGACCGAUAGCGCACAAGUAGAGUGAUCGAAAGAUGAAAAGCACUUUGGAAAGAGAGUCAAACAGCACGUGAAAUUGUUGAAAGGGAAGCGCUUGCAGCCAGACUUGCUUGCAGUUGCUCAUCCGGGCUUUUGCCCGGUGCACUCUUCUGCAGGCAGGCCAGCAUCAGUUUGGGCGGUGGGAUAAAGGUCUCUGACACGUUCCUCUCUUCGGGGAGGCCAUAUAGGGGAGACGUCAUACCACCAGCCUGGACUGAGGUCCGCGCAUCUGCUAGGAUGCUGGCGUAAUGGCUGUAAGCGGCCCGUCUUGAAACACGGACCAAGGAGUCUAACAUCUAUGCGAGUGUUUGGGUGUCAAGCCCGAACGCGUAAUGAAAGUGAACGGAGGUGGGAACCCGCAAGGGCGCACCAUCGACCGAUCCUGAAGUUUACGGAAGGAUUUGAGUAAGAGCAUGGCUGUUGGGACCCGAAAGAUGGUGAACUAUGCUUGAAUAGGGUGAAGCCAGAGGAAACUCUGGUGGAGGCUCGCAGCGGUUCUGACGUGCAAAUCGAUCGUCAAAUUUGGGCAUAGGGGCGAAAGACUAAUC